RNAcentral lists this ribosomal RNA (301 nucleotides) under uncultured bacterium. RNAcentral describes it as "partial 16S ribosomal RNA". It matches the Rfam family "Bacterial small subunit ribosomal RNA", at positions 509 to 809 of the family's 1533-position model. The record is from RNAcentral.
CAGUAGCCGCGGGAAUACAGAGGGUGCAAGCGUUAAUCGGAAUUACUGGGCGUAAAGCGCGCGUAGGUGGUUUGUUAAGUUGGAUGUGAAAGCCACGGGCUCAACCUGGGAACUGCAUCCAAAACUGGCAAGCUAGAGUACGGUAGAGGGUGGUGGAAUUUCCUGUGUAGCGGUGAAAUGCGUAGAUAUAGGAAGGAACACCAGUGGCGAAGGCGACCACCUGGACUGAUACUGACACUUAGGUGCGAAAGCGUGGGGAGCAAACAGGAUUAGAUACCCGCGUAGUCCCUGUCUCUUAUAU